Long non-coding RNA from Alosa alosa (allis shad), 421 nucleotides. RefSeq lists it as uncharacterized. Lineage: Eukaryota; Metazoa; Chordata; Actinopteri; Clupeiformes; Clupeidae. The transcript is spliced from 4 exons. The record is from RefSeq and is a predicted model, not a curated record.
AAACGGACUCCGACUUGGCUUUGUUGCUGCUGAAAUUGAUUUUGCCGGUCUUGCAAAAUUACACGCUAUAUGCAUGAGUCAUGGCAGGAAUGGAGGAGGCUGAGCUCCCCUUUGGAGGUGAUUCUUGAGGCGAGGGAAAGAGCCCAUCAAGACGACUGCACCAAAUAUCAUGGAAAUGAGCCAGAAGACAAACCGUCCAUGCAAAUGGCCCUGUCAGGGAUGAGGUUUGCACCAGGCACCACACUGAGGCGCGCUGCUUGGAUCACAAUGGGUCAUUGGAAUUGGAGGCUUUAAUGUAGCAAGACAAGUAGAAACCCCACAAAAUGGUCAUGCAAUUUCACAGGAAGGGAGUUCUUGUCAUGGAACAGUGUAUGUACAGGUUAGCAGCAGCUGAAAUGUUGACAAUAUAAGUGGGCAUAAA